RNAcentral lists this ribosomal RNA (466 nucleotides) under uncultured bacterium. Its description in RNAcentral is "bacterial SSU rRNA". It matches the Rfam family "Bacterial small subunit ribosomal RNA", at positions 30 to 506 of the family's 1533-position model. The record is from RNAcentral.
AUUGAACGCUGGCGGCAGGCCUAACACAUGCAAGUCGAACGGUAACAGGAAGAAGCUUGCUUCUUUGCUGACGAGUGGCGGACGGGUGAGUAAUGUCUGGGAAACUGCCUGAUGGAGGGGGAUAACUACUGGAAACGGUAGCUAAUACCGCAUAACGUCGCAAGACCAAAGAGGGGGGACCUUCGGGCCUCUUGCCAUCGGAUGUGCCCAGAUGGGAUUAGCUAGUAGGUGGGGUAACGGCUCACCUAGGCGACGAUCCCUAGCUGGUCUGAGAGGAUGACCAGCCACACUGGAACUGAGACACGGUCCAGACUCCUACGGGAGGCAGCAGUGGGGAAUAUUGCACAAUGGGGGAAACCCUGAUGCAGCGACGCCGCGUGAGCGAAGAAGUAUUUCGGUAUGUAAAGCUCUAUCAGCAGGGAAGAAGAAUGACGGUACCUGACUAAGAAGCACCGGCUAAAUACGU